UAGCUGCAUGUAUUAAAUGUUCUGCUUAUUAAUAAUUAUUAUAUAGUCCCAAGCAUUCGAAAAAGUCAAUUGAUCAAUAUCCUCACUAGUGAAGAUAUGGAGAAUAUGUCACUGUGUAUUUCUCAGUACUCACUCUCUGCUAUAUAAUAAAUGAGAAUACAAGCGGUACAAAGGUAUAUACUAUAUAGCUUACCUAUUUGUGCCCAAAGUAAAC
Non-coding RNA from Paramuricea clavata, 214 nucleotides. Lineage: Eukaryota; Metazoa; Cnidaria; Anthozoa; Malacalcyonacea; Plexauridae. The record is from the annotation of a GenBank genome assembly.